UGCAUCGGCCGGGAAUCGAACCCGUGAGGCAGGCGAGCAUUCUACCACUGAACCACCGAUGC
This 62-nucleotide transfer RNA is filed under the name Cordylochernes scorpioides. Its description in RNAcentral is "tRNA-OTHER". The record is from RNAcentral. Lineage: Eukaryota; Metazoa; Arthropoda; Arachnida; Pseudoscorpiones; Chernetidae.